ACGCGCAUGUCGACUGCUAGGCUAAUAACUAAACGUGGUCCAUGAAAGUUUUCGCAAUUGUGCUGGCUGACGACCUCGUGUGCAGCUUUACACGCGUGGUAGAUCGUACAACCGGUAACAUUAUCAAAGCAAUCGAUAUACCGUGUGGAACAGACAGGAAAUAAAACUUGGAAAAAUAAAAUUCGUGCCAACCCCCGUCACUGGAAAGGACAAGCACGCACUAGUUCAAUUACAAAACGGUGUCUCUACGACGGAGAAUCAUGGCACGCCGUCGUGUUAUUGUCUGCACGUUACGACAGCGAAAUGGGGUGCUGAUGGGCGAAACGUAUGGUGAGGGGGAGGCACUGUUGCAUUUUCGAAUAGCCAACGGAAGUACCGACACUUCCGCUCGUUCAAUAAUAUUACACCUGUGCAUCAGAUGAGACUGUGUGGCUCGUUAGGUUCGGUUCGUUAUUCUUUUUUUCGUUUAAUUUAGUGACCUAGAAAACCACACCAAAACACUAACGGGAAACGAGACACAGAAAACUACGACGCAGCAUUCCAUCAUUACGUAGAAAAUGAACGAUUGGAAAUCUACAUUUCCGUUAUGCAAAUAUUGAAAAUGUACACGGGGAAACAAAACGGCUUUUAUACUUUCACGUAGAUCCGGAAAACAAAAGAGAAUAUAACGUUACGGUUUGGAAAUGUGGAGUGGGGACCAAAUGAGGCAUGUACACAGGUAUAUUCACACACCGAUGCAUUCACGUCAAAUAGAAGGGCAAUAGUUUCACCAAUUUCUAUCGCCAAUCGUUUCUUGCCUUUUCGUUAUGUUGGAUAGUAAAAACUUUCUGAACAAUGUAAUACUUCAUGAGAAACACACGCUAUCACACAUACGUGGGCACCGACAUCUUGUUUCAAUAAAAGACA
Long non-coding RNA from Daphnia carinata, 906 nucleotides. RefSeq lists it as uncharacterized. The transcript is spliced from 3 exons. NCBI's taxonomy places the organism in Eukaryota, Metazoa, Arthropoda, Branchiopoda, Diplostraca, Daphniidae. The record is from RefSeq and is a predicted model, not a curated record.